RNAcentral lists this ribosomal RNA (611 nucleotides) under Candidatus Phytoplasma solani. Its description in RNAcentral is "bacterial SSU rRNA". It matches the Rfam family "Bacterial small subunit ribosomal RNA", at positions 547 to 1173 of the family's 1533-position model. The record is from RNAcentral. Lineage: Bacteria; Bacillati; Mycoplasmatota; Mollicutes; Acholeplasmatales; Acholeplasmataceae.
AAAUUAUUGGGCGAAAAGGGUGCGUAGGCGGUUAAAUAAGUUUAUGGUCUAAGUGCAACGCUCAACGUUGUGAUGCUAUAAAAACUGUUUAGCUAGAGUUGGAUAGAGGCAAGUGGAAUUCCGUGUGUAGUGGUAAAAUGCGUAAAUAUACGGAGGAACACCAGAACGAAGCGGCUUGCUGGGUCUUAACUGACGCUGAGGCACGAAAGCGUGGGGAGCAAACAGGAUUAGAUACCCUGGUAGUCCACGCCCUAAACGAUGAGUACUAAACGUUGGAUAAAACCAGUGUUGAAGUUAACACAUUAAGUACUCCGCCUGANUAGUACGUACGCAAGUAUGAAACUUAAAGGAAUUGACGGGACUCCGCACAAGCGGUGGAUCAUGUUGUUUAAUUCGAAGGUACCCGAAAAACCUCACCAGGUCUUGACAUGCUUUUGCAAAGCUGUAGAAAUACAGUGGAGGUUAUCAGAAGCACAGGUGGUGCAUGGUUGUCGUCAGCUCGUGUCGUGAGAUGUUGGGUUAAGUCCCGCAACGAGCGCAACCCUUGUUGUUAAUUGCCAUCAUUAAGUUGGGGACUUUAGCAAGACUGCCAAUGAUAAAUUGGAGGAAGG